UACAGAGGUCUCGAGCGUUGUUCGGAUUCAUUGGGCGUAAAGGGUGCGUAGGUGGCGUGGUAAGUCUGGUGUGAAAUCCCGGGGCUCAACCCCGAGCCUGCUUCUGAUACGGGCAGACUGGAGGUAUGCAGGGGAGAACGGAAUUCCUGGUGUAGCGGUGAAAUGCGCAGAUAUCAGGAGGAACACCGGUGGCGAAGGCGGUUCUCUGGGCAUUACCUGACGCUGAGGAGCGAAAGUGUGGGGAGCGAACAGG
RNAcentral lists this ribosomal RNA (253 nucleotides) under uncultured bacterium. RNAcentral's name for it is "partial 16S ribosomal RNA". It matches the Rfam family "Bacterial small subunit ribosomal RNA", at positions 524 to 776 of the family's 1533-position model. The record is from RNAcentral.